UCCACUUGAGUCUGUUAAUAGACUUUUCCACUUCAUCUCAGUUAAUAUUCAGAUGAAGUGGGAAAGUUUAUGAAUAGCCUCAAGUAAC
This is a microRNA precursor of Anolis carolinensis (green anole), 88 nucleotides long. The record is from Ensembl. NCBI's taxonomy places the organism in Eukaryota, Metazoa, Chordata, Lepidosauria, Squamata, Anolidae.